Molecule: long non-coding RNA, 1305 nt
Organism: Bos taurus (domestic cattle)
Lineage: Eukaryota; Metazoa; Chordata; Mammalia; Artiodactyla; Bovidae
Source: Ensembl
GGAAAGAAGAGAAGGCCUUUAAUCUUAGAAAUCAUUACUGCUGCCUAAGGGGUCCUGCGGGCUUUCCCAGGUACGAGGACACAGGACGGGGAGAGUCAGGGCCCUGCUGCACCCACAGCUGGGGGGUACACGGGGUGCUAGGGAAGCCCCUGGGGCUGGCAGCCACCUCCAGACCCCCUGCCCAACCUACAGCUCCCCCAUCUGGAACCGCCUUCUCCUCCCAGGGGUCUGUCUCCAUGGCAACAUCCCCAUCACAGGUGUUCGUAACCUUGGCAACGAGGUACUGCCACCCCACCACCUGGGAGGCUGGAAUCCUUAGCUACACCCCGUUCCCACACCCACCUCUGCCCCCAUGGCAGCAUCCCGCUGGGGAUGCUGGGUCCAGAGAGGCCAUUCAGUGGCUAAGCCCACCUCCGUGUCCCUGCUAAAUGCAAUAGAACAGCAAUGCCAAUGUGCACAUUCUUGCCGGUCACUGAGGGUCUACUACAUGCUCCCGGGCUCCCUCUCAGUAUACGGACCAGGCUGACACUGACCAAGAAUGGAGAGAUGAUAAGACAGUGGUUUCAGGCAGCAACAGACACUUCCCCACUCAGACCCCCCCAGAACCCCCACUUCCAGGGGCAAAACCUAUAGCCCUCAGCAUCACUGGACCAUUUGUUUAUUCAGCCAGCAUUUACUGGACACCUACUCUGUGUCUACUGGAGCCAUUCCACAGCAGAAAAGAAGGAAAAGCCCAUGAUUAACAGGAUAAAUCAGUAAAUUACAUGGUGUCUUAAGUGGGGAGAGUGCCGAGGAGGCAGGGAGGGGACAGAGGAGGCAAGGGGUGGAGACAUGAGUCAGGAAGGGCAUGACUGACUCCCACCCUAGAUUGGGUACCGGCUCUCUGCUGAGUUUCCCACCACACUCUUUCAUGACUGUCUCACUGGUCUGCUCCCCCAGGACCAUGGCGAGCCCCCUGCUGCAUCUCCUCCUUCUGGCACUUGACCUGGUACACAGUAGGUGCUCAAUAAACACUUUCCUCUAAGAGCCCUGGGUGGCAAUUACCAGAACCUCAUUUCACAGGAGACAGAAGCUCAGAGAGGGAAAGUGACUGCCCCAAGAUUACACAGCCUCUACAGCAGUGAUUCCUCUGUGGGGGCUGGGCUGCCCAUGGGGAUGGAGAACCACCAGGGAGGGGACCCCACGUCCUCCUCUUGGAUCUCUGCAGGCCAGGAAAGGAUCCGUCCUCUUGUCCCUUGGGUACCUGGCCUGCAGCCUCCCGCGAUGCAGUUUCUGGGCCUCAGGCCAAUGCGACAGUCUGGGAAC